RNAcentral lists this transfer RNA (75 nucleotides) under Deltaproteobacteria bacterium. Its description in RNAcentral is "tRNA-Thr". It matches the Rfam family "tRNA". From Rfam's summary of the family: Transfer RNA (tRNA) molecules are approximately 80 nucleotides in length. Their secondary structure includes four short double-helical elements and three loops (D, anti-codon, and T loops). Lineage: Bacteria; Pseudomonadati; Myxococcota; Myxococcia. The record is from RNAcentral.
GCCCGGGUAGCUCAGGGGUAGAGCGCUUCCUUGGUAAGGAAGAGGUCGGCAGUUCAAAUCUGCUCCCAGGCUCCA